GGCGGCCCGGUAGUCCAGUGGUUAGCACGUCGGUUUCACAGUGCAGAGGUACCGGGUUCGAUUCCAGCUCCGGCCUCCCUGUGUGGAGUUUGCAUGUUCUCCCCGGGCCUGCGUGGGUUUUCUCCGGGUGCUCCGGUUUCCUCCCACAUUCCAAAAACAUGCGUGGCAGGCUGAUUGAACACUCUAAAUCAGGGGUCACCAAACUUUUUGAGAGUGAGAGCUACUUCAUGUGUCCUGAUUGUGUGAAGGGCUACCAAAUUGAUACGCGUCUGAAAUAACAUUUGUACAAAUUACAUUUAAUAAUAUUAGAACAUUAGCUAGCUAGAUAUAUACUGUAGCUAGCUAGUUAGAUAGCUAAAUAGGUAGCUAUAGAAUCUAUAAUACGGCCCAUGUUUGCAUUUUUAAAUCAUAAUUUCUACGAGCAAAUCACAAUCCUAGCACUGGCGGGCUACUGGUGUGGUCCUCACGGGCUACCUGGUGCUCGCGGGCACCACGUUGGAGACCCCUGCUCUAAAUUGUGUGAGUGUGAGCGCGAAUGGUUGUUCGUCUCUGUGUGCCCUGCGAUUGGCUGGCAACCGAUUCAGGGUGUCCCCCGCCUACUGCCCGAAGACGGCUGGGAUAGGCUCCAGCACCCCCCGCGACCCUAGUGAGGAUCAAGCGGUU
Long non-coding RNA from Hippocampus zosterae (dwarf seahorse), 663 nucleotides. RefSeq lists it as uncharacterized. The transcript is spliced from 3 exons. The record is from RefSeq and is a predicted model, not a curated record. Lineage: Eukaryota; Metazoa; Chordata; Actinopteri; Syngnathiformes; Syngnathidae.